GCCUAACACAUGCAAGUCGAGCGAGAAAGUUCCUUCGGGAAUGAGUACAGCGGCGCACGGGUGAGUAACACGUAGGUGACCUACCCCCGAGCCCGGAAUAACCUACCGAAAGGUGGGCUAAUACCGGAUACGUCCACGAGAGUUUCGGCUUCCGUGGGGAAAGAUGGCCUCUACUCGUAAGCUAUCACUCAAGGAUGGGCCUGCGUGCCAUUAGCUAGUUGGUGAGGUAACGGCUCACCAAGGCGAUGAUGGCUAGCUGGUCUGAGAGGAUGACCAGCCACACUGGGACUGGAACACGGCCCAGACUCCUACGGGAGGCAGCAGUGGGGGAUAUUGCGCAAUGGGCGAAAGCCUGACGCAGCGACGCCGCGUGGGUGAUGAAGGCCUUCGGGUCGUAAAGCCCUGUCGAGGGGGAAGAACCGGUUGCGACCUAAUACGUCGCAGCCCUGACGGUACCCCUAAAGGAAGCACCGGCUAACUCCGUGCCAGCAGCCGCGGUAAUACGGAGGGUGCAAGCGUUGUUCGGAAUCACUGGGCGUAAAGCGCGUGUAGGCGGCCUACUAAGUCUGAUGUGAAAGCCCGGGGCUCACCCCCGGAAGUGCAUUGGAAACUGGCAGGCUCGAGUCCCGGAGAGGAGGGUGGAAUUCCUGGUGUAGCGGUGAAAUGCGUAGAUAUCAGGAGGAACACCGGUGGCGAAGGCGGCCCUCUGGACGGUGACUGACGCUGAGACGCGAAAGCGUGGGGAGCAAACAGGAUUAGAUACCCUGGUAGUCCACGCCGUAAACGAUGAGCACUAGGUGUCGCGGGUAUUGACCCCUGCGGUGCCGACGCUAACGCAUUAAGUGCUCCGCCUGGGGACUACGGCCGCAAGGUUAAAACUCAAAGGAAUUGACGGGGGCCCGCACAAGCGGUGGAGCAUGUGGUUCAAUUCGACGCAAC
This 939-nucleotide ribosomal RNA is filed under the name uncultured bacterium. RNAcentral's name for it is "bacterial SSU rRNA". It matches the Rfam family "Bacterial small subunit ribosomal RNA", at positions 46 to 960 of the family's 1533-position model. The record is from RNAcentral.